This is a small nucleolar RNA of Lontra canadensis (Northern American river otter), 147 nucleotides long. RefSeq annotates it as small nucleolar RNA SNORA31. The transcript has a single exon. The record is from RefSeq and is a predicted model, not a curated record. Lineage: Eukaryota; Metazoa; Chordata; Mammalia; Carnivora; Mustelidae.
CUGUGUUCACUGACAGACCUUAAAUAAUAGUCUGUGCUUCUUCUGGUUUGCAGUAGGAUGCAAAAAAAAAUAAAAAUAAAAAUAAAAAGUCUCUGCACUUUCUAUCUGGUCUUUGUGGUGGCCCAGAAUGAGUAGGGAAACAUAUUU